Molecule: ribosomal RNA, 326 nt
Filed under: uncultured archaeon
Lineage: Archaea
Description: bacterial SSU rRNA
Rfam family: Archaeal small subunit ribosomal RNA
Source: RNAcentral
CCGACGGUGAGGGGCGAAAGCUGGGGGCACGAACCGGAUUAGAUACCCGGGUAGUCCCAGCCGUAAACGAUGCUCGCUAGGUGUCAGGCAUGGCGCGACCGUGUCUGGUGCCGCAGGGAAGCCGUGAAGCGAGCCACCUGGGAAGUACGGCCGCAAGGCUGAAACUUAAAGGAAUUGGCGGGGAGCACAACAACGGGUGGAGCCUGCGGUUUAAUUGGACUCAACGCCGGACAACUCACCGGGGGCGACAGCAAUAUGUAGGCCAAGCUGAAGACUUUGCCUGAAUCGCUGAGAGGAGGUGCAUGGCCGUCGCCAGUUCGUACUGU